Molecule: long non-coding RNA, 1435 nt
Filed under: Sus scrofa (pig)
Lineage: Eukaryota; Metazoa; Chordata; Mammalia; Artiodactyla; Suidae
Description: lncRNA (ENSSSCG00005018588.1)
Source: RNAcentral
GGCAAAAGUGGAAUUGGGUACAUUCUAUCUAGCACUCCAGGAUAAGCAGGCAAUGCAAUGCAGCGUGGGGUAGAUCCAAGGACAUUUUGUUCUUUAGCAGAGACUGACAAACUCAUUUAGUAGCAACGAUUCACAGUCCACCAGAAAAUGCUGAAUCUCACUUACAGACAUAGUGAAAUUCAAGCAAAGACAGCCAAAUCGCUCUGAAAGCUAUUUUAGACACGCAUAUUUUAAUAACAUAAAUCUUUAUUUUUCUUAACAAAAGAGCCCCGCUAAAUUAUCUGUUACAACAUAGCCCAUGUGAGAAAGAUUGUAAUCCCCACUUCAGAGAUGGAUAAACUGACAAGGGCAGCCUUCUAGAGAGGCGGCAAGAGCCGAAUCUUCCUGACACACAACAGUCCAUGGAGCUUACAUGAAGAGCUCCCACAGUCAGCAAAAUGCAGCCUCUGGGUGCCUAGGGAACCACAAACAUCACAUGUCCCUCUCUCUAGUCCAGCUCCUGUUCACUGUGUACAAUUACUUAGGUAGAGCCGGUUCUCCCCACCAGGCGGUGAGCUUCUUGACAGCACAGGCAAUGUCUAAUAUAUCUUUGUGUAGUCUGGAAAACUAUGGAAGCAAAAUGCCAGACACACAGCAGGUAGCAGAAAAUGUAUGUUAAAUUAAAAAAAAAAAAAAAAAAAAAAAAAAAAAAUUUAAAAUAAAAAAAAAAAAAAAAAAAAAAAAGAGAGAAUGCUGAGUGACUCAGCAAAACAGACCAUCUGAGUGGCACAGUCGGAUGUGUGAAGAGUUCAUUGUAAUAGCAAGAAAUUGGCAACAAUCUAAACAGCAUAAAGGACAAAGUGUAAAUAAUACGUCCACUCUAGGGAAGACUCUGCAGUCACUGGUUGUGAGGCAGGGCUAUUAUCUACUGACACAGACAAAAGCAAACACAAUAGCAGAUGAAAAAUUCUAGAAAAAUAAAUAAGGAAUUCUUAGCCAGAUUAUCCUUGGAAUAAGGAGUGAUAUAAGGAAUACGAGCAGUUGAGUUGAAUUUGUUCACUCUAUACAUUUUCUGAAAUGUUUGAAUUUUUAAGUAUGUAUUAUGUACAGAUUUCUUAAUGGGUAAUUAAAAUUUUUUUUGAAAAAAAUCUUAGAGGGAUUUCAAAAUCCCCUUGAAGUAGAAUUUAAUGCAAGUAUCCAGGUUAACAAUCUGUGCAAUUAAAUCCACUGAGUAAAUGAAACACUCUAAAGUGGACCCAUCAAGUUCCAUGAAAUGUCAAGACAAGUAAAAUAAUGAAGUCAUUUUGUGGGCGCUCAUGGCGUCCCCCAUCGUGCUCUCAGACCAGCUUUUCCUUGGCACAAUGCUUUGGAAAACCAGCCCCUGCUAGCCUGCUAAAGAUGUGAGUUAUUUCAACCCAAUAAUAUUUAUUGGGCACGCCCCCCCCUCCCCCAUGCA